Dinoponera quadriceps is the source of this 188-nucleotide long non-coding RNA. RefSeq lists it as uncharacterized. Lineage: Eukaryota; Metazoa; Arthropoda; Insecta; Hymenoptera; Formicidae. The record is from RefSeq and is a predicted model, not a curated record. The transcript is spliced from 3 exons.
UUGAUNUGCGAAGGCUAUCGUGUGUAUUUUGAAGAGAAAACAUCAGAAAGUUUUACAAAUUGUGCUGCAUUGCAUUUUAUGAAGAAACGUUGAGAAAGAAAUACAUUGAAGCCGAAUGGCCGAUAACGUUCAGCGAUUUGUCGGCGAGACUUUUGUCGAGUGUACAACGUGAAACAGUAGAUGAACUG